This 468-nucleotide ribosomal RNA is filed under the name Thereuopoda clunifera. RNAcentral describes it as "partial 16S ribosomal RNA". It matches the Rfam family "Bacterial large subunit ribosomal RNA", at positions 1819 to 2600 of the family's 2925-position model. The record is from RNAcentral. Lineage: Eukaryota; Metazoa; Arthropoda; Chilopoda; Scutigeromorpha; Scutigeridae.
GGUUUCUUGAAUAAUAAUGAGAGAUCUGACCUGCCCAAUGAAGGAUUGAAUGGCCGCGGUAUAUUGACCGUGCGAAGGUAGCAUAAUCAUUAGUCUUUUAAUUGAGGACUGGAAUGAAUGGUUGGACGUGGUGAUAGCUUUUUUAAUUUUAUGUGUUGAAUUUUACUUUUUAGUGAAGAGGCUAAAAUGUAACCAAAAGACAAGAAGACCCUAUCAAGUUUUAUUAUAUAUGUAUUAUGGAAGAGAGGUAAAAUUAAGGUGCAUUAUAAUUUUACUGGGGCGGUGUAUUAAAAACUAAUUAAGAUCCAAAAUUUUUGAUUAAUUGUUUAAAUUACUGUAGGGAUAACAGCGUAAUCUUAUUUGAGAGUUCAUAUCGACAAUAAGGGUUGCGACCUCGAUGUUGGAUUAGAAUACCUUCUUGGAGCAGAAUCUAAGGGAGGUGGUCUGUUCGACCAUUAAAAUUCUACA